RNAcentral lists this ribosomal RNA (265 nucleotides) under uncultured prokaryote. RNAcentral describes it as "partial 16S ribosomal RNA". It matches the Rfam family "Bacterial small subunit ribosomal RNA", at positions 524 to 788 of the family's 1533-position model. The record is from RNAcentral.
CACGUAGGGGGCGAGCGUUGUCCGGAAUUAUUGGGCGUAAAGAGCGCGCAGGUGGUUGAUUAAGUCUGAUGUGAAAGCCCACGGCUUAACCGUGGAGGGUCAUUGGAAACUGGUCGACUUGAGUGCAGAAGAGGGAAGUGGAAUUCCAUGUGUAGCGGUGAAAUGCGUAGAGAUAUGGAGGAACACCAGUGGCGAAGGCGGCUUCCUGGUCUGUAACUGACACUGAGGCGCGAAAGCGUGGGGAGCAAACAGGAUUAGAUACCCU